UUUCCGUAGGUGAACCUGCGGAAGGAUCAUUAUCGUCUGGGGGAAACCCCACGAGAUAGCACCCUGUCUUUUCAAGUACCAACCACCGUUUCCUCGGCGGGCUCGCCCGCCGGCGGAGAUGCAACCAAACCCUUUUGCAGUAGAAGUACAGUCUGAAAUAAAAAACAAAUUAAUUAAAACUUUCAACAACGGAUCUCUUGGUUCUGGCAUCGAUGAAGAACGCAGC
This 226-nucleotide unclassified non-coding RNA is filed under the name uncultured fungus. Its description in RNAcentral is "sequence contains ITS1, 5.8S rRNA gene". The stretch from base 178 to 226 matches the Rfam family "5.8S ribosomal RNA", at positions 1 to 49 of the family's 154-position model. Lineage: Eukaryota; Fungi. The record is from RNAcentral.